Molecule: transfer RNA, 85 nt
Filed under: Parcubacteria group bacterium CG1_02_37_51
Lineage: Bacteria
Also listed under: 3 other names
Description: tRNA-Tyr
Rfam family: tRNA
About the family: Transfer RNA (tRNA) molecules are approximately 80 nucleotides in length. Their secondary structure includes four short double-helical elements and three loops (D, anti-codon, and T loops).
Source: RNAcentral
GGGUCGGUACCGAAGUGGUCAAACGGGGCAGACUGUAAAUCUGCUGGCUCCGCCUUCGUAGGUUCGAAUCCUACCCGGCCCACCA